This 906-nucleotide ribosomal RNA is filed under the name Enterococcus sp. 108B3_12EGalle. RNAcentral's name for it is "bacterial SSU rRNA". It matches the Rfam family "Bacterial small subunit ribosomal RNA", at positions 53 to 929 of the family's 1533-position model. The record is from RNAcentral. Lineage: Bacteria; Bacillati; Bacillota; Bacilli; Lactobacillales; Enterococcaceae.
ACAUGCAAGUCGAACGCUUCUUUUUCCACCGGAGCUUGCUCCACCGGAAAAAGAGGAGUGGCGAACGGGUGAGUAACACGUGGGUAACCUGCCCAUCAGAAGGGGAUAACACUUGGAAACAGGUGCUAAUACCGUAUAACAAUCAAAACCGCAUGGUUUUGAUUUGAAAGGCGCUUUCGGGUGUCGCUGAUGGAUGGACCCGCGGUGCAUUAGCUAGUUGGUGAGGUAACGGCUCACCAAGGCCACGAUGCAUAGCCGACCUGAGAGGGUGAUCGGCCACAUUGGGACUGAGACACGGCCCAAACUCCUACGGGAGGCAGCAGUAGGGAAUCUUCGGCAAUGGACGAAAGUCUGACCGAGCAACGCCGCGUGAGUGAAGAAGGUUUUCGGAUCGUAAAACUCUGUUGUUAGAGAAGAACAAGGAUGAGAGUAACUGUUCAUCCCUUGACGGUAUCUAACCAGAAAGCCACGGCUAACUACGUGCCAGCAGCCGCGGUAAUACGUAGGUGGCAAGCGUUGUCCGGAUUUAUUGGGCGUAAAGCGAGCGCAGGCGGUUUCUUAAGUCUGAUGUGAAAGCCCCCGGCUCAACCGGGGAGGGUCAUUGGAAACUGGGAGACUUGAGUGCAGAAGAGGAGAGUGGAAUUCCAUGUGUAGCGGUGAAAUGCGUAGAUAUAUGGAGGAACACCAGUGGCGAAGGCGGCUCUCUGGUCUGUAACUGACGCUGAGGCUCGAAAGCGUGGGGAGCAAACAGGAUUAGAUACCCUGGUAGUCCACGCCGUAAACGAUGAGUGCUAAGUGUUGGAGGGUUUCCGCCCUUCAGUGCUGCAGCUAACGCAUUAAGCACUCCGCCUGGGGAGUACGACCGCAAGGUUGAAACUCAAAGGAAUUGACGGGGGCCCGCACAAG